Molecule: small nuclear RNA, 163 nt
Filed under: Corchorus capsularis
Lineage: Eukaryota; Viridiplantae; Streptophyta; Magnoliopsida; Malvales; Malvaceae
Description: snRNA U1
Rfam family: U1 spliceosomal RNA
About the family: U1 is a small nuclear RNA (snRNA) component of the spliceosome (involved in pre-mRNA splicing). Its 5' end forms complementary base pairs with the 5' splice junction, thus defining the 5' donor site of an intron. There are significant differences in sequence and secondary structure between metazoan and yeast U1 snRNAs, the latter being much longer (568 nucleotides as compared to 164 nucleotides in human).
Source: Rfam by way of RNAcentral
UUACUUACCUGGAUGGAGCAUAUGGGCGAUCAAAAAGGCCCAUAGCUUAAGUCGGCGGCCCACAUUGCACAUCGUGGGUGCGCCCGCUUAACAUCUCCCCCAAGUGGGAGAAUUUACGUCAUAAUUUGUGACAGUUGGGGGCCUGCGUUCGCGCGGCCCCUGC